This 469-nucleotide ribosomal RNA is filed under the name uncultured bacterium. Its description in RNAcentral is "partial 16S ribosomal RNA". It matches the Rfam family "Bacterial small subunit ribosomal RNA", at positions 28 to 507 of the family's 1533-position model. The record is from RNAcentral.
GACGAACGCUGGCGGCGUGCUUAACACAUGCAAGUCGAACGGAAAGGCCCUGCUUGCAGGGUGCUCGAGUGGCGAACGGGUGAGUAACACGUGGGUGAUCUGCCCCUUACUUUGGGAUAAGCCUGGGAAACUGGGUCUAAUACUGGAUAGGACCAUGCUGUAGGUGGUGUGGUGGAAAGAUUAGUUUCGGUAAGGGAUGAGCUCGCGGCCUAUCAGCUUGUUGGUGGGGUAAUGGCCUACCAAGGCGUCGACGGGUAGCCGGCCUGAGAGGGUGGACGGCCACAUUGGGACUGAGAUACGGCCCAGACUCCUACGGGAGGCAGCAGUGGGGAAUAUUGCACCAUGGGCGCAAGCCUGAUGCAGCGACGCCGCGUGGGGGAUGACGGCCUUCGGGUUGUAAACUCCUUUCAGCCAUGACGAAGCCCUUGUGGUGACGGUAGUGGUAGAAGAAGCACCGGCUAACUACGUG